GGGAUUGUAGUUGAAUUGGUCAGAGCACCGCCCUGUCAAGGCGGAAGCUGCGGGUUCGAGCCCCGUUAGUCCCG
This 74-nucleotide transfer RNA is filed under the name Ilex metabaptista. Its description in RNAcentral is "tRNA-Asp". It matches the Rfam family "tRNA". Rfam says of the family: Transfer RNA (tRNA) molecules are approximately 80 nucleotides in length. Their secondary structure includes four short double-helical elements and three loops (D, anti-codon, and T loops). Lineage: Eukaryota; Viridiplantae; Streptophyta; Magnoliopsida; Aquifoliales; Aquifoliaceae. The record is from RNAcentral.